GACGAACGCUGGCGGCGUGCCUAAUACAUGCAAGUCGAGCGGAUGAAUCGAAAGCUUGCUUUUGAUUCGUUAGCGGCGGACGGGUGAGUAACACGUGGGCAACCUGCCCUGUAGACGGGGAUAACACCGAGAAAUCGGUGCUAAUACCGGAUAACACGAAAUGUCGCAUGACGUUUCGUUGAAAGACGGCGCAAGCUGUCGCUACAGGAUGGGCCCGCGGCGCAUUAGCUAGUUGGUGAGGUAACGGCUCACCAAGGCGACGAUGCGUAGCCGACCUGAGAGGGUGAUCGGCCACACUGGGACUGAGACACGGCCCAGACUCCUACGGGAGGCAGCAGUAGGGAAUCUUCCGCAAUGGACGAAAGUCUGACGGAGCAACGCCGCGUGAGCGAAGAAGGCCUUCGGGUCGUAAAGCUCUGUUGUUAGGGAAGAACAAGUAACGCAGUAACUGGCGUUACCGUGACGGUACCUAACGAGAAAGCCACGGCUAACUACGUG
Molecule: ribosomal RNA, 498 nt
Filed under: uncultured bacterium
Lineage: Bacteria
Description: partial 16S ribosomal RNA
Rfam family: Bacterial small subunit ribosomal RNA
Source: RNAcentral